Syzygium oleosum is the source of this 2962-nucleotide RNA transcript. It is a transcript of the gene named filament-like plant protein 3, with no coding region annotated. Lineage: Eukaryota; Viridiplantae; Streptophyta; Magnoliopsida; Myrtales; Myrtaceae. The transcript is spliced from 6 exons. The record is from RefSeq and is a predicted model, not a curated record.
AACUUCUCAUUCCUCUCUCUCUCUCUCUCUCUCUCUCUCUCUCCACUUCCCCUGACAUUCCUCAGAUCUGAGGCCAGAGACAUGUCUGCAUUGGGAUUCCCAUCACAGCAAUCAUUGUCUCGAUGCUGAUCUCCAUCGUGCUUCCCCUGUCAGAGCUGUUCCGCAGAUAUUUUCGGAAACUGGGUAUUGGCUUUUUCACAUUUCUUCUGUGGUCCCCUGUCUCUCUCUCUCUCACCCUCUUGAUACGGCGUGGAUUUAGGGGGGAUUAAUGUGUUGGGUGCCCAUCAGAAGAGCUGUUCGAGCAUUGUGCUUCAAGUAAUUCUGGGUAAAGACUGUAUUUAAGCACGUUACUUGCAAAAAUUGAACAGCUUCGUGCAAAGUCUGUAUACUCUCUCCAGUCCUUUUCACGUAUCGAAUAAAAGUUCCGCUUUUUGGGGCGAUUUUUUUAGAUUUAAGGAUGUGUCGAUCGCGAAGCUCGAGUUGUUGGGGGAGUGCAUUGUAAGCAAAGCUUGGAAUUCUCAGAAGAAAACCCAAAAUUGUUUCGGUUGGAACAGUUUAAGCUUUUGAUCUUUUUCCUCUUCUGGGUUUCACUCGGAUUGUUCUUGAAGUUCUGAUUUUGCCCAGAUAGUGAUUUGGGUGAUGAGAAUUGCACGCAUGGUAGUCGGAGUCUAAAAUCUGCCCGCCGCGGCAGAGCCCGCGAUGGACCGCCGGACUUGGCUCUGGCGAAGGAAGUCGUCCGAGAAGAGUCCCGGAGAAACAGAGAGCUCCGGUUCGUUGUCCUCUCAUUCUGGACGAUUUUCCGAUGAACAGGCAUAUCCAACGCAUAGCAGUCUAUCUCAAGAAGUCACAUCUAAGGUUGCGGUUGCGGAUGACGAAGUAGGUGAGGAUGUGAGGACUCUAUCAGAGAAAUUAUCUGCCGCGCUUCUGAAUAUUAGCGCCAAGGAAGAAUUAGUGAAGCAGCAUGCUAAAGUUGCAGAAGAAGCUGUAUCAGGAUGGGAGAACGCUGAAAAUGAAGUCUUGGUGUUGAAGAAACAACUGGAGGCUGCAACACAAAAGAACUCAAUGCUGGAAGAUCGGAUUGGUCAUCUUGAUGGAGCGCUUAAGGAAUGUGUGAGGCAGCUCAGACAGGUGAGGGAAGAGCAAGAGCAGAAGAUCCAAGAAGCUGUGGUCAAGAAAACUCGUGAGUGGGAAUUAACAAAGGCCGAGCUUGAGACUAAGCUUUCUGAUGUCCAUGCCCAGCUUCAAGCUGCCAAGAGUGAAGCUUCUUCAGUUAUAAGUUCUGAUCUUGGCCCUAAGCUUGAUGCUGCUGAAAAAGAGAGCGUAGCCCUCAAAGCCAAAGUCCUUUCUCUGUCUGAGGAGCUAGAAAUUAGGAUUAUUGAGCGUGAUUUGAGCACCCAAGCAGCAGAAACAGCCAGCAAACAGCAUUUAGAGAGCAUAAAGAAGGUAGCUAGGCUUGAAGCCGAAUGCCGCAGACUCAGAGCCAUGUCUCGGAAAGCAACUGCGACGAAUGAUAUUAAGUCUUUCUCUGCAUCAUCGGUUUGCAUAGAGUCCUUCACCGAUAGCCAAUCAGAUGUAGGGGAUAGACUGCUAGCAGUUGAGAAUGACAUGCAGAAAGCGAGUUGCUUGGAGCCAAAUGAUUGUGAGCUGGGUCACUCUGAGUCAUGGGCAUCUGCUCUGAUAACUGAACUCGACCAUUUUAAGAAAGACAAAUCUUUUGGAAAGAAUCUCAUGGUUUCUUCAGGAGGAAUUGAUUUAAUGGAUGAUUUUCUGGAAAUGGAAAGGCUUGCAGCUUUACCAGACGCAGAAAGUGGAAGCUGCAGCCAAGGAGUGGAGCCCACUCUGGAUCAAAACAGAUCUGAUGAAGUCCCUCUCAAAUCCGAGCUUGAAGCCAUGAUCAAUAGAACGGCAGAGCUGGAGGAGGAAUUAGAGAAGAAGGAAGAAGAAAAGGAGAAGCUAGAGAUGGCUCUAAAUCAAUGUCAAAAGCAACUUGAAACGUCAUGGAGUCAGCUCAAUGAGGUUGAGAUGAGAUUGGUAGAACUCGACACCAUGUUGUCUGCAGCACAAAAAUCGAAGCAAGCUGCAGAAGAGGAAGCAAGGAUUACCCAUGAGAGGAUGGAAGUGACAGAGUCAAGACUCAUGGAUGUUGAAGAGGAGAUGAAAAAGUUGCUCCUUAAUGUCAAAUUGUUACAAGAAGAGGUUGAAAGAGAGCGUGCAUCGUCUGCUGAAAAUGAGGCAAAAUAUCGGAAGCUGGGGGAUGAAAAUGCUGAAAAUGAGGCAAAAUGUUGGAAGCUGGAGGAUGAAAAUCUAAAGAUGAAAAGGGAUGCUGAACUGCAGCAUGAGACCGAGCUUCAGCGUGUGGCUGUCUCUGAUGACGAGCUAAAAGUAAAGCAGUUUUGUUAUGUAAAACAGGAGCAAGAGCUAGCAGUCGCUGCUAGCCGGUUCGCAGAGUGCCAGAAGACUAUUUCAUCUCUCGCUCGGCAAUUAAAAUCUCUAGCAGCAGUAGACGACUUCCUCAUUGAUUCUGAUCUGAUGUGCGAUCACCUGGAUGAAGGAUUACCAAGUCCCGAAAACGAACUGCACCAUUUAAACCACCCGCCGGUCCUCAUUUCUGCUGAAGAAAGAUGAAAGAAUCACGGUUUAAGAAGUUGAUUAUUCAACUGGCUGAGGCAGGAAGAUGAAAUGAGUGAGCAGUAAAUCGUAUCAAGUCCUUUCAGUGAAUUUUCGACUGAAAGUGAGAAGUUUAUGUACCACUUCAUUUUGCCCAAGACACCAUCUGUACCUGCAAAAUGUGGAUGGAACUGAAUUUCGUCUGAAAAAGAAGCACGGCCAACCAUCUCUUUAUCACUUAUUUCACAUUAUAAUCUAGUAGGUACAACAUCUCGUCUCGACUUUAGUUUUUUGUAAAUUGUAAGUAUUUGUAUCUUGUCAAUUAUCAUGGUAAUGUCGGGUAACUGUUGAUCUA